AUGCCUCGGGUACGUCCUGUUCCCAGCUCCUUCUCCAGCACCCGCAGCCCCUCGGCUGACAUUUCAGAAACACAGCCCAAGCUGAAAUGGGCAGCCUGCCCAUGGAAGAGAUGGGGCAGAGGGAGACUGUGGCCUGUUCACACAGUUUGGUGGAAAGUGAAGACUGAAGGGGCUUAGGUGACCUUUUAAUCAGGAAGAUAGGGCACAUCAGGGACUCACUCCUCUUGAGGCUCCUCUCCGUUCCUGGGGACUCGGCUGCUUCUCAGACAUGGACAUGAUGCAGGUAUG
Molecule: long non-coding RNA, 288 nt
Organism: Pan paniscus (pygmy chimpanzee)
Lineage: Eukaryota; Metazoa; Chordata; Mammalia; Primates; Hominidae
Source: Ensembl